AGAAGAUCUGAGUUUUAAUCCUAUUUCCCAGCCAUGUGAGCUGGUGCCUCAGUCAGCCUCAUCUCUAUGCUGGAGUUAAUCACAAAAGCCGUCUCGACCACCCUCCGCAGAAAAGGUAAAGAGAGGGACAGCUGCUGCGCGGUGCCACUCGCCCGUAGACCAGGGAGGCCCAUGCUCUCUGGGGCUCUCGCUCACAACCCAGACCCCCAAAGCAGCCAUCCAGCUACAGCUGGGACCAUGCCAGCGUCUUCCACCUCUCCUGUCUCCCCUGGGGCUGGGCAGCCUUGGCUUUCAGCGUAGUGGGGGAGAGAGGGAGGAAGGGCCACUCCAUCAGCAAAUCCCACAUAACAGCCUAAAUCUGGGCUUUUGGGGGAAUUCAGGAGGUCACAUGUUGGGUGGGGUGGUCAGGCCCUGGCAGGGGAAAGGAGGGUGAGGGGCAGCUCUUUAGGGUCUCCUGCAGGGCAGACUCAUUGGGUGGCCCCUUGGUGACUCACAGCUUUUGGGAAAUAGCUGGUCACACUGGGAUCUGUCCUCGGGGGCCCGCCUCGGGCUGUGAUGAUGGUCUGUGCCUGGGAUCAGGGCUUGGGUGGGGUGCAGGAAGGCUGGUUGACCUUCAGGGGAUGGACGGACUGCCAGGGACCUUAUGUCUGUUAGCCUGAGCUUUGGAGUUUGGGGAAAUGGCUCAGGUCAGGACCCAGGGCUUCUGGUGGCCUCUGCUUUUCGGGGAGGCGAGGGGGGUACUAGGGAGGCUGAGGGGGCUGCUUUUCUUUUCCUUUUUCUUUUUCUUUGUUUUGAGACAGGGUCUUGCUCUGUCACCCAGGCUGCUGUGCAGUGGCACCAUCGUAGCUCACUGCAGCCUGGACCUUCUGGGCUCAAGCAAUCCUCCCACCUCAGCCUCCCGAGUAGCUGGGACUACAGGUGCACACCACCAUGCCUGGCUAAAUUUUUUUGUAGAGACGAGGGCCUUACUAUGAUGCCCAGGCUGGUCUCAAACUCCUGGCCUCAAGCCAUCCUCCUGCCUCAGUCUCCCAAAGCAAUGGGAUUAUAGGCAUGAGCCACUGCGUCCUGGCUGCUUUCUUCCUAUAGAGUCCCUGUUUCCCUCCUUGCUCUCACCUGGGAGCACGCCACCUGGGUAUACACCUGGCAGCCCCACACCUGUGGCCAAAAGAAAGCAAAGUUACUAGCAGCAGCUCAGCCUCCAGGGACCCCUCCCCAGCCCUUCCCACCCAGGCAGCUCCAAGGCCCUCAAACCCACAGCCUCUGUGCCCGACAGGGGCAGCCAGGGACAGACGUGGGGUGGCCACAACCCUCCUCCCACGAGUUUCGGAAGUCAUCUGCAAACUCUUCGGUGUGUGGAUUUAUCUCCGUCUCCUGGAGCCUGUUUACAUGGCUGGGCCAGCCCACCUCUGGCUAACAGCUUCCAGAUGUCCCUCCCUGCUGCGUAGACUCAGGCAGUCUUUUGUUUAACCUGAAGUCACUUCCUAAAGGGCUUGGUGGGGCAGAACGAGUACCAGAUGGGGAGUCAGAGGACACGGGGCUCCCCCAGCUCUGCCGGGACUCGCUGCAGGCCCUUCCACACUGACUCGCCUCUUUGAGCCUCAGUUUCCCCAUCUGUCGCCCGACAGCCUGCCACAGAGCCCGUCUCUUUCUACCCCAAGAUCCCGGGAGAAGGGCCCGGGAAGUGGGCCAGGCCCCUCCUCCCCAUUUCACAGACGCAGGCACCAGCCUGGCUAGUUUCUCUGCCCGACUGAAGCCAGGCCCUGCCCUUCCUCCCCAAGUGCAGUGGCAUGGAGAGGGCUCUGUUCCUCCCUGCCCUCUGCCCCUCCCUGCCCUCUGUCCUCCAGCCCCAGGGAUUCCGCACUGACCCGGCACUUUCCCAGGCUUCACUCCGGCUCCAGGCUGAGGAACCACCGCACCUGGCACAGAAGGGGCUGCAUCAGAGUUGGCUCCACCCAGGCCUGCAACUUUGACCCAGGGAGUUCGGGGAUAGCCAUCGUACCUGCAGACACUCCUAAGCCACCAACUCCUGGGACACCACCAAGCCCAGCGCCUGCAGAGCCAGGACAGGUGAGGCAUUGCGUAAGGAACAGUGGGGAGGCAGAAGGGCCCGGGGCUGCAUGCUGAGGGCCCAGCAUUGAGGUCUGGCCCCGUUACUAACUCACCUUCAGACUGGGCACAGCUAGCUGCCUCCCUGAGCCCCAGUAGAUUGCAACUGACAAUCCCACCCACCCGGCUCCCAAGCCUGAGUUGAGGGAAGGUUCUUUGCAAAGCGGAGGGCCCCACGGAAGCCAGAGGGCUUGUGGCAUGUCCCAAAGAGCACCACUCACCAGCCUUAGCAGCUUUAUAGGCUGCAGCAGCGUCAGCCACUCCACCAGGCACCAGAGCCCCCGGAAAGGUAACUGCGGGGAAGGCGCCGAGCCCUGCGGAGGGGAGGAUGGGGUGAGGUCCUGAGCUACCACACCUAUGAAGACUCCUACGCUCUGGCCCUGCCUGGCUGUGCCCCACUCAGGAAGCACAUUGGAGGCUCUUCCGCUCUCUGCCAGACAUCAAUGCCUGCAGGACAUCCAUGUGAGCACUGCUCACCGGUAAUGGAUUUUUUUUUUUUUGACACAAGGUCUCACUCUGUCACCCAGGCUGGAGUGCAGUGGUGCGAUCUUGGCUCACUGCAGCCUCAACCACCCAGGCUCAAGCAAUCCUCCCGCCUCAGCCUUCCAAGUAGGUGGAACUACAGGUGCAUGCCACUGUGCCCGGCAAAUUUUUUUUUUUUUGUAUUUUUUGUAGUGACAAGAUUUUACCAUGUUGCCCAGGCUGGUCUCGAACUCCUGGGCUCAAGCCAUCUGCCCGUCUCAGCCUCCCAAAGUGCUAGGAUUACAGGCGUGAGCCACCGCGCCUAAGUACCAGAACUAGAUUGUGUGCCGAGGUUAAUGUGUUAGACAGCUCUGACAAAACUGCAUGGCUCUUUUUUUUUUUUUCCCUUUAGAGAUGGGGUCUUGUGGCUGGGCACGGUGGCUUGAGCCUGUCAUCCCAGCACUUUGGGAGGCCGAGGUGAGUGGAUCACUUGAGGCCAGGAGUUCGAGACCAGCCUGGCCAACAUGGUGAAACCCCGUCUCUACUAAGAAUACAAAAAUUAGCCGAGCGUGGUGGUGCACACUGGUAAUUCCAGCUAUUUGGGAGGCUGAGACACAAGAAUCACUUGAACCGGGGAGGUGGAGGUUGUGGUGAGCUGAGAUCAACUGCACCAGGUGCGGGGAGCUGAGACUGAGCCACUGCACUCCAGCCUGGGUGACAGAGUGGGACUCUGUCUCAACAACAACAAGAACAACAAAAGAGAUGAGGUCUUUCUCUGUCGCCCAGGCUGGAGUGCAGUGACAUGAUCAUAGCUCUCUGAAGCCUCAGCCUCCUGGGCUCAAGGGAUCCUCUCACUUCAGCCUUCCUGAAAACUGCAUGGAUCUUUUGGGGUCAAAUUUCCCCACCCACCUCCUCUAGAAUGCCUUCCUGAACCCCUGCUGAGUUAAGCGACUCCCUUGGGCUUCCUUGGUCCAUGGGGCUUCCUCCAUGCAGCCUUCACUACUAUGUUAUAAAGGAACCCAGGUACUCAGCUGUGAUUUCCUCAUGUCCUGGGCAGCUGCUUGGGGCAGUUGGUAUCAGCAUCAGUCCCCGUCAGUGCCCAGGACGGAACCUGGCCUGCACCCUUGUUCCAUGACCGUGCUGCAUACCAGCCCUGGGUUGAGCUCAGGGGCUGGUCCCCACAGGGGAUAUCUUUCUUGGGUGUCAGCACUCACCUGCCCCAAGGCCAGCACCCGCAAGCCCUCCGGGAACUGUGGAUAAGAAACAGAGACAGGAGUGUAGGCAGUGUUCCUAGGCCCAGAGUGGGAAAUGUCUCCUGGAGUUAGGGCAGUGCUGUGAUCAGCCACUCAGGUCCCUAGGCUGGUCCCUAAGCCUGUGAUGCUCAGGGUCGAUCCUGAUAAAAUAGCAUCCACCAGUAGUUUAGUGAGCGACUACUAUGUGCAGUGCAGGUGUCAUUGCACCGAUCCCUAACAAGCCUGGGCCAGGCCUGUGCUUCUCCUAGAAGCCCUGCUGGCUAACAAGAUUCAGCAGGGCUUUCAGCAAGGGCUGGGACAGAGCAGAGUCCGUGAGCGAGACCUCACCCCAGGCCAGUGAGGUCUCUCUUCUGCUUCCUUGCAGAUAUCUCUUGACUCAGUCCCCUCCCCUUCACCUGCAUCGGGGAACUCCUGUGUCCCCACUACCCAUCUGUCCUUCCAUCCAGCCUGCCCUGCAGCCCAGGAGCCUCCUACUAAGAUGUUUAUGAGACGCCAAAUGGGUCCCUCUGGCUCUCUCCUCCCCACAUCUGGGCCCAAUCGCUUCGUCUCCCACUGCGGGAGACAUUCCACUGCCUUGGCCAGGACCAAUGGGCCAUCAGGUCAGAGUUCACAACCAUGCCAGGUUUGUUUCUAAUUAUGUGACGAUCUCUCCUACAAGUGCUAGUCCUGAGCCUCAGGGGUGAGUCCUCUCCAGGGAUGGAUCCCAAACAUGGAGCCUGCUGUACCCUGGAGAGGUCCCCCCUGGCUUUCCCUGGGUGUGGUCUCCGUUACUAACCACUCCUCGUCCCUCAUUUCCUACUAGUGGGAGCUGGACCCCUCUGAAACUCAGCCAGCCUCAUGUAAGAAGCAUCUUUGCCUCCGGGCGGGAGUGCCUGGCGAUCAGGCAGGAGUCACUUCCCAGCACCCGGGCCAGACCCACCUGCGCUGGCAGUCGCUUCUCUCAAGCCAGGCAUGUUUCCUGAGCUCUGAGAGGGCAAGGGACAUGCUCAGACCUUUCCUGUCCACAGAGGGGCUGGGAGGGGAAGCUGAGGACUGCACAGGAAGUGAGAAGAGGCUGGGGCUGCAGUGGGGGGCAGGCAGCUUCUCUGGGGCCAUCUUCCUUUUUCCCAUGAUCCCAGCCUGAGCAUCCUGUCAUGUGGCCUGACCACUUCUGUCUCUGCCUGCCCUCCUUCCUUUGCACUCACCUGCCCCAAAUGCCCCAAGGAUUCUAGCAUCUGGAAAGGAGGAGAAAGCGGGGAGGGGCUGACCACAGCUGGGAGUCCAGGGACCUGGCCAGCUCCAUCCUCCUUCUUUCUAGAGUCAGAGAGUUCUAGAUUCAGACCCUGCUGCUGCUACCCAGCCUCCAUGAGCACAAGCAGGUCAAUUUGCCUCUCCGAUGAGGCUUAGUUUUUGCCAUCUACAAAAUGGCCAUUAUAUCACCUGCCUUGCUGGGACCAGUGAGCAUGUGUGCAGAAAGCACCUAGUUGUGCAACCUACCCAGGGCACACAGUGGGUGCUCCCAGUUCCUUCUUGUCCAUGCCCGUGCCCCUCUCAGUGGGCGGCUGGCCUCUGGCUAGUGCUCAGGGUGUUGGGUGUGCAGGCUUCCAGCUGCCUGGUCCCCCGCUGAGAGCUGAGGCAGGGCAGGGCCAGCUUGGACCUGUGGUGGCGCCCACGUGGAAAAGCAGCUGCCAGGCCACCCACCCUCUGUCACCAAGGGAUUAAUUGUUCCCAAGCAUGACACGCGCUGCCUGUGCUCCAUUCCAUCCUGCCUGGGCAGGCCCAGACGUCCUGGCAGCCCGGAUGUGGGGGCCUCCCUGGGGGUGCCAUGGGGGCUCUGCCGACCCUUCUGUAGCCCUGAGUCUUCGGGGAGGUCAUGGAAUCCAGCCCCUUGCCUGGAAACACUGCCCUUUUUAUCAGAAGGAGAUGCUCUGACUUUCCUUUGGAUUGACUCCUUCACCCUGAGCUGGAAGUUCUUUCAGAAGUCUAACCUAAAUCUUUCAUUAACAAAAGCUUCACUUUUGCAACUACACAUCCUGGAACUUCGUAGGGAGUUGUCUGUCUUUCCUCUGGUGUUUAACCACAACCUGCUAUGUGUCUCUUGCUCCUAGUGGGAUCAAUGAAUGUACCCUCCAGCUUUGCAGGCACAACCUCCUCAAUUUGGGUCUUCUAGGCCAAGCACAGACCUACCUCCACACCUCUGCACCACUAUCAUCUCCCCUGUCCUCUCUUCACCGUCAAAGACCCUGCUAAGAACCCUCACCUGCUCCAGGAAGACAGGGUAUAGGUGCUGGCGGGGAUAAGUGGCAAGCUCCCAGGGUCUCCUGGCCUUGCAGAGCCCUGUAGACCCCAGGCACCCCGUUCUCCCGCCUCUCCUGGCUCCAGCCCUGGUGUUUCACAACCCAGAUGGACUUUUAGCGCAGGGGAAUCUGGGUCUUGAAGAUUCAUUUGCACUUGGAUUAUCAACUAUCAGGAUUUCAUAAGAGCUCUUGGACAUCUAAACUGUGUCCUGGAGACUUGGGCUUCUGAGCCAGGGCAACACAGCUCAGGGUGUGGGGCGGCCAAAGUCACAUGUGGAGCGUCUCAUGCCGAGGGACCAUCAAUCUGGACAGAGACGCUGUUUCCUCCACCUGCUCCUUAUCCGCCAGUAUUUCCCGGAGGGACCUGCCCCACCUUCCUUCCUGGGGGUGCAUUCCCCAGAGCUGAGAGUGGACCCUCGUGGCAGAUCCCAGCCCCUUGGGCGAGGCCAGGAUAGAUCCGGCCACACCUUCUUACUGGAAAACUCCGUGGUCUGGACACAGCUGGAAAGGGCCUGAGAUUAGGAGGGGAGCUUAUCCGGGGCCAUGGUCGGUGCUCAGCUUGGGCUUGGGGUCAGGGCUUGGCCUAAGGCCAGGAUUGGGGGUCCUGUGGGACCAGGGUCAGCAGGGUCAGGGUUCAGCCUGGGAUUAGGCUCAGGGCUUGGGCUGGGGUUAAGCUUUGGCUUGAGACCAGUGCUCCAUCUGGAGUCAGGAGAAGGGCUCAGAAUGGCAUCAAGGUCAGGGUGAUCUGGGGUAUUGGUCUGGGGUCAAGGGCUAGGGGACCACUCAGGGGAAGUCUGGGGCUGAGGAUCUGUGUCUGAGCUCCCGAGGGUCAUGUAAGGCUUGGAGGCCACUGGAACCGGAGCAAUCCCUGAUGUUGCCUCUAACAGCCUCUCCUUUGCAGAGAGGAGUCUCUGGACAGCUGGGUGAACACACAUGCACAUGUAGGGUAGAUGCUAGACGCCCUCACACAGGGAGGACAUGGAGCUGCUUCCAGCCUCUUGUUCCUGGAAGCCCUGGGACCUGGCCCCGGCCUACUCAUCCUUGGGAGGCUAAUCGGUGUCCACACCUCCCUCCUUCCUCCUGCCCGUUGGCUUCCUUGUCCUGUUCCUAGUUUCCUUGUCCCAUUCCCAGCUGGGUAGGCUCCUCCCUCCCCAGCUCCCUCGCUGUCUCUCAAUGCUCCGAGGCCUUGGGUCUUACCUGGCUUAAGAGGUUUGCCUCCAGGCCCCAGCGCUGCAGAGGGAAGAGAAGAUAGUGAAUGGGGUGGCCCAGCUUAUCCAUCUACUACUUAUCCAACCCCCAACCCGGGCAAAGUGUGGGCAGUGUGGAAUCACACACCCCAGGUCCUCCCGCUCAGACUUGGAGCCCCUGGGAACCUAGCUCUACUUCUAACUCGUGGUUUAUACUCUCUGAGUCCCAGAGUCUCAGCCUCAAAAGGGGAUGAUGGGCUGGGGGUGGUGGCUCACGCCUGUAAUCCUAGCACUUUGGGAAGCUGAGGCAGGCGGAUCAUCUGAGGUCAGGAGUUUGAGACCAGCCUGGCAAACAUGGUGAAACC
RNAcentral lists this long non-coding RNA (7649 nucleotides) under Homo sapiens (human). Its description in RNAcentral is "HSALNT0341528". Lineage: Eukaryota; Metazoa; Chordata; Mammalia; Primates; Hominidae. The record is from RNAcentral.